AGUUUGAUCCUGGCUCAGAAUGAACGUUGGCGGCGUGGAUUAGGCAUGCAAGUCGAAUGAAUCCCUUGUAGCAAUAUGAGGGGGAAAUGGCGAAAGGGGCAGUAAUGUAUGGGCAACCUACCCGGGGGUCGUGGAUAGCCGUCCUAACGGACGGGUAAUACAUGGCGAUUCGACGAGAGGACAUCCUUUUGUCGGGAAAGAUUUAUCGCCUCCGGAGGGGCUCAUAUCGUAUUAGCUAGUUGGUGAGGUAACGGCUCACCAAGGCGAAGAUGCGUAGCGGGUGUGAGAGCACGACCCGCGCCACUGGCACUGAGACACUGGCCAGACACCUACGGGUGGCUGCAGUCGAGGAUCUUUGGCAAUGAGCGAAAGCUUGACCAAGCGACGCCGCGUGGAUGAUGAAGGCCUUCGGGUUGUAAAAUCCUGUCGAGGGGGAUCAAAGGCAACUUGAGUGAUCCCUGGAGGAAGCACGGGCUAAGUUCGUGCCAGCAGCCGCGGUAAGACGAACCGUGCAAACGUUAUUCGGAAUCACUGGGCAUAAAGGGCGCGUAGGCGGCUUGACAAGUCAGGGGUGAAAGCCGGCAGCUUAACUGUCGCAGUGCCUUUGAUACUGUCAAGCUCGAGGGAGGUAGGGGUCUGUGGAACUUCCGGUGGAGCGGUGAAAUGCGUUGAUAUC
Molecule: ribosomal RNA, 676 nt
Filed under: uncultured bacterium
Lineage: Bacteria
Description: bacterial SSU rRNA
Rfam family: Bacterial small subunit ribosomal RNA
Source: RNAcentral